UAACUACUUCCUCCGUCCAACAAAGGAUGUCUCAAGUUUGGCUAAAUUUGAAUACAUCUAUACACUAAGUCAUAUCUAGAUACAUUCAAAUUUUGACAAACUUGACAUCUUUUGUUGGACAGAGGGAGCAGUAC
Brachypodium distachyon (stiff brome) is the source of this 134-nucleotide non-coding RNA. The record is from Rfam. Lineage: Eukaryota; Viridiplantae; Streptophyta; Magnoliopsida; Poales; Poaceae.